CUCCUACGGGGCGCAGCAGUCGGGAAUAUUGCGCAAUGGAGGAAACUCUGACGCAGUGACGCCGCGUAUAGGAAGAAGGUUUUCGGAUUGUAAACUAUUGUCGUUAGGGAAGAUAAAAGACUGUACCUACGGAGGAAGCCCCGGCUAACUAUGUGCCAGCAGCCGCGGUAAUACCUAGGGGGCAAGCGCUGUCCGGAUUUACUGGGUGUAAAGGGCGUGCAGCCGGAGAGACAAGUCAGAUGUGAAAUCCACGGGCUCAACC
RNAcentral lists this ribosomal RNA (262 nucleotides) under uncultured bacterium. RNAcentral describes it as "partial 16S ribosomal RNA". It matches the Rfam family "Bacterial small subunit ribosomal RNA", at positions 336 to 614 of the family's 1533-position model. The record is from RNAcentral.